Molecule: long non-coding RNA, 503 nt
Organism: Anthonomus grandis grandis
Lineage: Eukaryota; Metazoa; Arthropoda; Insecta; Coleoptera; Curculionidae
Exons: 3
Source: RefSeq, a predicted model, not a curated record
CUUCGAGAUCCUAAGCGCCACUUAACAACUAACUGUUCAUCGAAUGUUUUUAACAUUUAUUAUUAAAUUAUUUAUUGUUAUUUUCAUUUAAUUAAAUAGGUAGGAACGAGUUGCCGACACAGAUGCAAAUCAUGGAUACCGAGAAAGAUAUUCAAAAGAAAGUUAUGAGUUUAUGCAUUCAACUUCCUAUACAUGUUGCAACUUGGAAAACUGUGCUGGAUAAUAUACAAUCUCCACUAAAAACUUUGGUAAACUAUGGGGAACAGCUCAGGUUUGUUGAACAAGCUAGAAUAGGAAAUGAUAUGAUGGAUAAUUUUAGUUUAGUUCAGAUGGAGUUACAACUGAAAAUCUUGGGCCAAAUUGAAGAGGAACUAGUCUUAAUAAAAUCUUAUAUAAAAAAACUGAAUGAAACAAACCAUGACCUGAAAAAUAAACUGGCAAAUUUAGAACGGGCCACUAUUGAAUUGGACUGGGGUUCCAAUUGUUCCCUAAUUCAAGGAACU